AGGAUGUUAACUAUAUCGGUGGUUUGCUUCCAAUUUCAAAGGCAUCCUCAAUCAUUGAAGGGGAGAAAGUAGAAGGUGCUAAGAAUUUGUUGCUUGAAUUCUCUAAUGAAGUUGCGGACAAUGAUGAAUCCGAAGUGUUG
Molecule: non-coding RNA, 140 nt
Organism: Arachis ipaensis
Lineage: Eukaryota; Viridiplantae; Streptophyta; Magnoliopsida; Fabales; Fabaceae
Source: RefSeq, a predicted model, not a curated record